UGCAGUCGAGCGAAUGGAUUGAGAGCUUGCUCUCAAGAAGUUAGCGGCGGACGGGUGAGUAACACGUGGGUAACCUGCCCAUAAGACUGGGAUAACUCCGGGAAACCGGGGCUAAUACCGGAUAACAUUUUGAACUGCAUGGUUCGAAAUUGAAAGGCGGCUUCGGCUGUCACUUAUGGAUGGACCCGCGUCGCAUUAGCUAGUUGGUGAGGUAACGGCUCACCAAGGCAACGAUGCGUAGCCGACCUGAGAGGGUGAUCGGCCACACUGGGACUGAGACACGGCCCAGACUCCUACGGGAGGCAGCAGUAGGGAAUCUUCCGCAAUGGACGAAAGUCUGACGGAGCAACGCCGCGUGAGUGAUGAAGGCUUUCGGGUCGUAAAACUCUGUUGUUAGGGAAGAACAAGUGCUAGUUGAAUAAGCUGGCACCUUGACGGUACCUAACCAGAAAGCCACGGCUAACUACGUGCCAGCAGCCGCGGUAAUACGUAGGUGGCAAGCGUUAUCCGGAAUUAUUGGGCGUAAAGCGCGCGCAGGUGGUUUCUUAAGUCUGAUGUGAAAGCCCACGGCUCAACCGUGGAGGGUCAUUGGAAACUGGGAGACUUGAGUGCAGAAGAGGAAAGUGGAAUUCCAUGUGUAGCGGUGAAAUGCGUAGAGAUAUGGAGGAACACCAGUGGCGAAAGCGACUUUCUGGUCUGUAACUGACACUGAGGCGCGAAAGCGUGGGGAGCAACAGGAUUAGAUACCCUGGUAGUCCACGCCGUAACGAUGAGUGCUAGUGUUAGA
Molecule: ribosomal RNA, 787 nt
Filed under: Bacillus thuringiensis
Lineage: Bacteria; Bacillati; Bacillota; Bacilli; Caryophanales; Bacillaceae
Description: bacterial SSU rRNA
Rfam family: Bacterial small subunit ribosomal RNA
Source: RNAcentral